This 253-nucleotide ribosomal RNA is filed under the name uncultured bacterium. Its description in RNAcentral is "partial 16S ribosomal RNA". It matches the Rfam family "Bacterial small subunit ribosomal RNA", at positions 524 to 776 of the family's 1533-position model. The record is from RNAcentral.
UACGGGGGGUGCGAGCGUUGUCCGGAAUCACUGGGCGUAAAGGGCGCGUAGGUGGUUUGAUAAGGGUGUGGUGAAAGUCCGGAGCUCAACUCCGGAUCUGCCGUGCCGACUGUCAAACUCGAGGGCUGUAGAGGCAGACGGAAUUCCGGGUGUAGCGGUGGAAUGCGUAGAGAUCCGGAGGAAGACCGGUGGCGAAGGCGGUCUGCUGGGGAGUUUCUGACACUGAGGCACGAAAGCGUGGGGAGCAAACAGG